RNAcentral lists this ribosomal RNA (466 nucleotides) under uncultured bacterium. RNAcentral's name for it is "bacterial SSU rRNA". It matches the Rfam family "Bacterial small subunit ribosomal RNA", at positions 328 to 792 of the family's 1533-position model. The record is from RNAcentral.
CUGCCAGACUCCUACGGGAGGCAGCAGUGAGGAAUAUUGGUCAAUGGUCGGGAGACUGAACCAGCCAAGCCGCGUGAGGGAUGAAGGUACAGAGUAUCGUAAACCUCUUUUGUCAGGGAACAAAGGCGGGGACGCGUCCCCGGAUGAGUGUACCUGAAGAAAAAGCAUCGGCUAACUCCGUGCCAGCAGCCGCGGUAAUACGGAGGAUGCGAGCGUUAUCCGGAUUUAUUGGGUUUAAAGGGUGCGUAGGCGGGACCUUAAGUCAGCGGUAAAAUUGCGGUGCUCAACGCCGUAGAGCCGUUGAAACUGGGGCUCUUGAGUGAGCGAGAAGUAUGCGGAAUGCGUGGUGUAGCGGUGAAAUGCAUAGAUAUCGCGCAGAACUCCGAUUGCGAAGGCAGCAUGCCGGCUCCACACUGACGCUGAGGCACGAAAGCGUGGGUAUCGAACAGGAUUAGAUACCCUAGUA